UACGGGAGGCAGCAGUGGGGGAAUAUUGCACAAUGGGCGCAAGCCUGAUGCAGCCAUGCCGCGUGUAUGAAGAAGGCCUUCGGGUUGUAAAGUACUUUCAGCAGUGAGGAAGGUGGGUAUGUUAAUAGCAUAUUCAUUUGACGUUAGCUGCAGAAGAAGCACCGGCUAACUCCGUGCCAGCAGCCGCGGUAAUACGGAGGGUGCGAGCGUUAAUCGGAAUUACUGGGCGUAAAGCGCAUGCAGGUGGUUGUUAAGUCAGAUGUGAAAGCCCGGGGCUCAACCUCGGAAUUGCAUUUGAAACUGGCAAACUAGAGUACUGUAGAGGGGGUAGAAUUUCAGGUGUAGCGGUGAAAUGCGUAGAGAUCUGAAGGAAUACCGGUGGCGAAGGCGGCCCCCUGGACAGAUACUGACACUCAGAUGCGAAAGCGUGGGGAGCAAACAGGAUUAGAUACCCUGGUAG
Molecule: ribosomal RNA, 460 nt
Filed under: uncultured bacterium
Lineage: Bacteria
Description: bacterial SSU rRNA
Rfam family: Bacterial small subunit ribosomal RNA
Source: RNAcentral